RNAcentral lists this unclassified non-coding RNA (289 nucleotides) under Hevea brasiliensis (rubber tree). The record is from RNAcentral. Lineage: Eukaryota; Viridiplantae; Streptophyta; Magnoliopsida; Malpighiales; Euphorbiaceae.
CUUGUGUACAUUAUUAAACCGCAAGCGCUAUUGUACCAGAUUUUCUGUGCAGCUAACUGCAAAACCCGAAAGGCUUCUCCUUCCCACGCGUGUUUUAGAUUCCAAUCUUCGGUUCUCUGUGUAUUUUCAGUUGCCAUGUUAUUUUAACAAAGACUAAUUACCAGAUUAAGGACGCAGAAUCUAUAAGCUAGGGUUUUUUUUUUAAUACCUCGUAAUCGCUUUUUUUUUUUUAAAUAUUUUUUAUUAAUUUGGUAAAAAAUUAAUUUAAUUUUGAGUUCCUGGUCUCACA